UCUGAAUCUGCGUACGGCUCCGCACACCAGUUGUAAACCAAAGCAAGCUAGUCCAUGGUCUGGCCCUCACGGGUUGGGCUGUGGACGAUACGGAUAACCCUGGUAAUUCUGAGGCUAAUACGAGACUGCAAUCCCUGGCUAACCGCAAGGAAGGCUGGGGGGCGUGUAAAGGUUUCGCGAGGAAUAACCGGGAAGGGGUACACGCUCUGACCACGACAAAGACAGUUCCGGCAAAUCUUCGGAUGAGUUGGUCCUGAGUGGCUCUUGCGAGGUGCUUCUGACCUAUCAACUAGAUGGCAGCGUAACGGACAUGCCAUGGU
RNAcentral lists this ribosomal RNA (320 nucleotides) under Diderma europaeum. RNAcentral describes it as "bacterial SSU rRNA". It matches the Rfam family "Eukaryotic small subunit ribosomal RNA", at positions 80 to 350 of the family's 1831-position model. The record is from RNAcentral. Lineage: Eukaryota; Evosea; Eumycetozoa; Physariida; Didymiaceae.